Molecule: long non-coding RNA, 892 nt
Organism: Oreochromis niloticus (Nile tilapia)
Lineage: Eukaryota; Metazoa; Chordata; Actinopteri; Cichliformes; Cichlidae
Exons: 6
Source: RefSeq, a predicted model, not a curated record
GAGAUGAGAGGCAGGUGUGUGAUGAGGUCACAGUUCCAGCUGGUGGCCGCAGCCCACACAGACGCACAGGAAAGAGAUGAGGCUGCCGUGAGGAGGUAAGGAGUUGUGACACCUCCAACUAUCUGCUCCCAGAGGUCUAAGGCAUCUUCCAGGGCCAGUGACGCUGUUUUCCAGAGAACUGAUUGCUUUAUAUUUUCAUGAGGCGAAGUGCCUUCUAAGAAGUUUGGACAGUGCUUUUCUGGCCAGCCCAGUCUUGAUGUGAAUGCUGGCGGAAGAAGGUGUUAUGAUUGACGGGAGCGGACUAAACAGAAACAACACAUCCAACAACAUCCCUCAAAUUAAACAUGAAGUGGUGCAGAAAAAUUGCUCGGUCAUCCCUCCUUUUCUGCUACGCAGCCAAGGUGACGACUGCUAAGGGCAAGCAGUGGACAAUGAUACAACAUCCAGGAGAAGCAAGAAACGGGGAAAACUACAACCACUCUUUGCUGACAAAUUGCCUCCAAUCAACCAGCUGCUGUGGAGCGGGAAGCAGGGUACACCCUGGACAGGUCACCACUCUGUCACAGGGCUAACACAGACAGAUAACCAUUCAUGCUCAUAUUCACACCUAUGGAUGAUGACACCAUGCCUUUGGGCUGUAGGUGGGAGAAUUGUGAUUUUGUCUAUGUUUAGUAAGAAAAACUCCCACUCCUGCUCCUUCUUGUGAUUCACUGCAUUUUCAGUGUAGCUCUGAGGAUUUUUAGCAGUCUAUGUUGCAUAGAUGGGAUUUUAUGGUGUAACAGUGCCACUGUUCACCAUAUAGCUGGUAUGCACCACCUUUGAAUUGAAACAAAAAGAGAUGGAAUAAUCAAACGCACCAUGAACUUUCCCACUGACAGUAAAUUAGCUGGAA